This is a long non-coding RNA of Centruroides sculpturatus (bark scorpion), 990 nucleotides long. RefSeq lists it as uncharacterized. The record is from RefSeq and is a predicted model, not a curated record. The transcript has 7 exons. NCBI's taxonomy places the organism in Eukaryota, Metazoa, Arthropoda, Arachnida, Scorpiones, Buthidae.
CUUCUGCUUCGUCCGAAUCGUUAUCAGCCCAAGGUUGCAAUUCGGCUGAGCCAAAAACCAGGAAGAUGACCAACCCCAAUAAACAAAAUCCCGCCGAGAGAUAGUAGACGUAACUCCAUUGCACCAUGCUUCCUUGCUGAACAGCCCAGCUAUAUACGGCGAUAAGAAGCCAGAAAUUGUUGCCAUUCCGUUAGUCAAUCCGUACAAAGGCCCUGAAACCACCCUAUUUUGAUACGGAGACAACUUUUUCCUCUACUUCUGCUUCUUCCGAAUCGUUAUCAGCCCAAGGUUGCAAUUCGGCUGAGCCAAAAACCAGGAAGAUGACCAACCCUAAUAAACAAAAUCCGGCCGAGAGAUAGUAGACGUAACUCCAUUGCACCAUGCUUCCUUGCUGUAAGCAGAAUGAAACCAUCAAUCAAAUUUCAUUACAAUGAGAAUCUAUUAAGAAACUUUCGUAAUAAAUGAACAGCCCAGCUACAUAUGGUGAUAAGAAGCCAGAAACUGUUGCCAUUCCGCCAGUCAAUCCGUACAACGGCCCUGAAAUAUGCAGACCUCGUUUCAAGAUAUCCGAAGGUUUUCUGCAUGCGAUUUGUCGCUUGAACAGAAACUAAAAAUUAUGAACUUUAUGAAGAGAUUUGGAAAAGUGUCGUUAUGUAUAUCAGUAAGAGGCUACUUCAAUGUUACGAAAAAGUUUCCAGUGAAGAUGGCCAACGCACUUCAUUCUGUAUUUUCUGGUUUUCUGAAACUCAGAACAGCCUCUGAAAAAUGAAAAUCUUUGAUUUAUGCUUAUAACGAAGUUUUAAAACACGUUUUAAAAUUUCAUUUAAUUUUUGUACAAUGAACGAAAAAUUGUUUCGUAUUUUAUCUGCAGUGCUCAUUAUAGAAAAGCUAAAAUGCCAAUAUUAUUUUUUUUAUAGAAAAACCAAGCCGCACAUUAAAAUUAUCUUUGUAGCAUUCCUAUUAACCGAGCCAAAAUGUACCUGUUAGUUA